Molecule: non-coding RNA, 23 nt
Filed under: Arabidopsis thaliana (thale cress)
Lineage: Eukaryota; Viridiplantae; Streptophyta; Magnoliopsida; Brassicales; Brassicaceae
Source: RNAcentral
CUGCAAAUUCCUGGAGUUCGCAA